CGUUAAGCUAAAAAAGUUAAGAUGAUCAGGUUUUGGUCACUUUCAGACAUGAUGGACUUUGAAUGAUCAAAUGCACAAAUGUGUUUCAAAACUGGAACGGUACACAUAUCUCGCUGGCUAAGGUGAAAUGUCAGAGAACUGAGCAGCAGGAGCCCUGGGGACACUCAAGCCAAAGCGCGUGUUCCGGCAUGCACAGCAAAGUUUAGAGCCGACGCCUUGAGCUUCAGUCAAGCAAGACUUACAGCAAAACGUAGCUAGAGAGCCAAACCCACCCACCCAUUGAUCGCUCUGACGUCACGUGCAAGAAGCAAAACGUAACAAUAACAAUCAAACAACAACUGAAAUUUUCCAAAAGCCAAUGGCAACACCUGCA
Molecule: long non-coding RNA, 373 nt
Organism: Drosophila busckii
Lineage: Eukaryota; Metazoa; Arthropoda; Insecta; Diptera; Drosophilidae
Exons: 3
Source: RefSeq, a predicted model, not a curated record